RNAcentral lists this long non-coding RNA (294 nucleotides) under Ictidomys tridecemlineatus (thirteen-lined ground squirrel). RNAcentral's name for it is "lncRNA (ENSSTOG00000033532.1)". Lineage: Eukaryota; Metazoa; Chordata; Mammalia; Rodentia; Sciuridae. The record is from RNAcentral.
ACCUGCCUAAUCCAGAAUAAUCUCCAAGGAGAAGUGCUUUCCCAGUUUUCAAUCCCAGCAGGAAGAACUGAAGUUAGAUGCCUGGAAGAACUUCCCAAUAGCUGAAGAGAGCAGUUCGAAGAUCAUGGGAGAAAGACUGGUUUCUACCCAGCAUGUUCCCCACGGGGCCAUGAGAGUCCAGGGCUGGACGUGUCUGUGCGGAGAGGUCUGGGUGGAGCCAGGUGAGCGGCUGUCCAGGGAUGUGCGCUCACCUGGGUGGCCCAGCAAGGCUCUGCCGCUGCCCUGGAGCCGGCU